Arabidopsis thaliana (thale cress) is the source of this 355-nucleotide long non-coding RNA. RefSeq annotates it as other RNA. The transcript has a single exon. The record is from RefSeq. NCBI's taxonomy places the organism in Eukaryota, Viridiplantae, Streptophyta, Magnoliopsida, Brassicales, Brassicaceae.
CAUUUCAUAUCUAGAGACUUGAGAAAUGAAGAUAGUCAGAUAGAUAAGGGGAAGAGAGACAUAUCCAAAAAGGGUAAGUCGAGGUAUUGAAAGCCCCUUAGCAAAACCAAAAACUAUAAAAACCUCUUAAUAAAUUUUAAAACAAACAAAAAAUGGGCCCUUUUACCUAAAGAAAAAAAUUGAAAUUGGGCUUAAAUAAAACUAACCUCAGAGAAUGUAUCAUAUGUGUUUCUGGCCUUGUCUUUCUUGCCAGAAAGGGGGCAGACAAAGCAUUAUUUAAGUUUCUAACCAUUGGGAUCACUACAAACACGACAUAAAAGGAAGGCACUCCAGCUGAUACUGACAAACUCGAUGG